AUACGGAGGGUGCAAGCGUUAAUCGGAAUUACUGGGCGUAAAGCGCACGCAGGCGGUCUGUCAAGUCGGAUGUGAAAUCCCCGGGCUCAACCUGGGAACUGCAUUCGAAACUGGCAGGCUAGAGUCUUGUAGAGGGGGGUAGAAUUCCAGGUGUAGCGGUGAAAUGCGUAGAGAUCUGGAGGAAUACCGGUGGCGAAGGCGGCCCCCUGGACAAAGACUGACGCUCAGGUGCGAAAGCGUGGGGAGCAAACAGGAUUAGAUACCCUGGUAGUCCACGCCGUAAACGAUGUCGAUUUGGAGGUUGUGCCCUUGAGGCGUGGCUUCCGGAGCUAACGCAAUAAGUAUUCCACCUGGGGAGUACGUUCGCAAGAAUGAA
This 376-nucleotide ribosomal RNA is filed under the name uncultured bacterium. Its description in RNAcentral is "bacterial SSU rRNA". It matches the Rfam family "Bacterial small subunit ribosomal RNA", at positions 523 to 898 of the family's 1533-position model. The record is from RNAcentral.